UACGUAGGGGGCUAGCGUUGUCCGGAAUCAUUGGGCGUAAAGAGCGUGUAGGCGGCCUGAUAAGUCGGUUGUGAAAGUCAAGGGCUCAACCCUUGAAUGCCGACCGAUACUGUCAGGCUAGAGUCCGGAAGAGGCGAGUGGAAUUCCUGGUGUAGCGGUGAAAUGCGCAGAUAUCAGGAGGAACACCGGUGGCGAAGGCGGCCCUCUGGACGGUGACUGACGCUGAGACGCGAAAGCGUGGGGAGCAAACAGG
This 253-nucleotide ribosomal RNA is filed under the name uncultured bacterium. RNAcentral's name for it is "partial 16S ribosomal RNA". It matches the Rfam family "Bacterial small subunit ribosomal RNA", at positions 524 to 776 of the family's 1533-position model. The record is from RNAcentral.